UACGGAGGAUGCAAGCGUUAUCCGGAAUGAUUGGGCGUAAAGCGUCCGCAGGUGGCUAUGUAAGUCUGCUGUUAAAGAGUGAGGCUCAACCUCAUAAGAGCAGUGGAAACUACAUGGCUAGAGUGCGUUCGGGGCAGAGGGAAUUCCGGGUGUAGCGGUGGAAUGCGUAGAGAUCCGGAGGAAGACCGGUGGCGAAGGCGGUCUGCUGGGCAGUUUCUGACACUGAGGCGCGACAGCGUGGGGAGCAAACAGG
RNAcentral lists this ribosomal RNA (253 nucleotides) under uncultured bacterium. RNAcentral's name for it is "partial 16S ribosomal RNA". It matches the Rfam family "Bacterial small subunit ribosomal RNA", at positions 524 to 776 of the family's 1533-position model. The record is from RNAcentral.